RNAcentral lists this small nuclear RNA (39 nucleotides) under Cervus elaphus hippelaphus. The record is from RNAcentral. Lineage: Eukaryota; Metazoa; Chordata; Mammalia; Artiodactyla; Cervidae.
AUACUUACCUGGCAGGGGAGACACCAUGAUCAUGAGGAU